UCCCUCAACGUGUGCACCUGCCCAAAG
Molecule: non-coding RNA, 27 nt
Filed under: Macaca fascicularis (crab-eating macaque)
Lineage: Eukaryota; Metazoa; Chordata; Mammalia; Primates; Cercopithecidae
Also listed under: 1 other name
Source: RNAcentral